This 435-nucleotide ribosomal RNA is filed under the name uncultured bacterium. Its description in RNAcentral is "partial 16S ribosomal RNA". It matches the Rfam family "Bacterial small subunit ribosomal RNA", at positions 29 to 507 of the family's 1533-position model. The record is from RNAcentral.
AGCGAACGCUGGCGGCAGGCUUAACACAUGCAAGUCGAGCGGGCACUUUCGGGUGUCAGCGGCGGACGGGUGAGUAACGCGUGGGAACGUGCCCUCUGGUUCGGAAUAACUCAGGGAAACUUGAGCUAAUACCGGAUACGCCCUUUUGGGGAAAGGCUUGCUGCCGGAGGAUCGGCCCGCGUCUGAUUAGCUAGUUGGUGAGGUAACGGCUCACCAAGGCGACGAUCAGUAGCUGGUCUGAGAGGAUGAUCAGCCACACUGGGACUGAGACACGGCCCAGACUCCUACGGGAGGCAGCAGUGGGGAAUAUUGGACAAUGGGCGCAAGCCUGAUCCAGCCAUGCCGCGUGAGUGAUGAAGGCCUUAGGGUUGUAAAGCUCUUUUAUCCGGGACGAUAAUGACGGUACCGGAGGAAUAAGCCCCGGCUGACUUCGUG